CCUACGGGAGGCAGCAGUGGGGAAUAUUGGGCAAUGGGCGCAAGCCUGACCCAGCAACGCCGCGUGAAGGAAGAAGGCUUUCGGGUUGUAAACUUCUUUUAAGUGGGAAGAGUAGAAGACGGUACCACUUGAAUAAGCCACGGCUAACUACGUGCCAGCAGCCGCGGUAAUACGUAGGUGGCAAGCGUUGUCCGGAUUUACUGGGUGUAAAGGGCGUGCAGCCGGGCAUGCAAGUCAGAUGUGAAAUCUCAGGGCUUAACCCUGAAACUGCAUUUGAAACUGUAUGUCUUGAGUGCCGGAGAGGUAAUCGGAAUUCCUUGUGUAGCGGUGAAAUGCGUAGAUAUAAGGAAGAACACCAGUGGCGAAGGCGGAUUACUGGACGGUAACUGACGGUGAGGCGCGAAAGCGUGGGGAGCGAACAGGAUUAGAUACCCCAGUA
Molecule: ribosomal RNA, 439 nt
Filed under: uncultured Oscillibacter sp.
Lineage: Bacteria; Bacillati; Bacillota; Clostridia; Eubacteriales; Oscillospiraceae
Description: bacterial SSU rRNA
Rfam family: Bacterial small subunit ribosomal RNA
Source: RNAcentral